GAUGAACGCUGGCGGCGUGCCUAAUACAUGCAAGUCGAGCGAACAGACGAGGAGCUUGCUCCUCUGACGUUAGCGGCGGACGGGUGAGUAACACGUGGAUAACCUACCUAUAAGACUGGGAUAACUUCGGGAAACCGGAGCUAAUACCGGAUAAUAUAUUGAACCGCAUGGUUCAAUAGUGAAAGACGGUUUUGCUGUCACUUAUAGAUGGAUCCGCGCCGCAUUAGCUAGGUGGUAAGGUAACGGCUUACCAAGGCAACGAUGCGUAGCCGACCUGAGAGGGUGGUCGGCCACACUGAACUGAGACACGGUCCAGACUCCUACGGGACGCAGCAGUGGGGAAUCUUCCGCAGUGGGCGAAAGCCUGACGGAGCAACGCCGCGUGAGUGAUGAAGGUCUUCGGAUCGUAAAACUCUGGUAUUAGGGAAGAACAAAUGUGUAAGUAACUAUGCACGUCUUGACGGUACCUAAUCAGAAAGCCACGGCUAACUACGU
RNAcentral lists this ribosomal RNA (495 nucleotides) under uncultured bacterium. RNAcentral's name for it is "partial 16S ribosomal RNA". It matches the Rfam family "Bacterial small subunit ribosomal RNA", at positions 28 to 506 of the family's 1533-position model. The record is from RNAcentral.